GUGGGGAAUAUUGGACAAUGGGCGAAAGCCUGAUCCAGCCAUGCCGCGUGUGUGAAGAAGGUCUUCGGAUUGUAAAGCACUUUAAGUUGGGAGGAAGGGCAGUAAGUUAAUACCUUGCUGUUUUGACGUUACCGACAGAAUAAGCACCGGCUAACUUCGUGCCAGCAGCCGCGGUAAUACGAAGGGUGCAAGCGUUAAUCGGAAUUACUGGGCGUAAAGCGCGCGUAGGUGGUUUUGUAAGUUGGAGGUGAAAUCCCUGGGCUCAACCGUGGAACUGCCUCCAAAACUGCAUGACUAGAGUACGGUAGAGGGUAGUGGAAUUUCCUGUGUAGCGGUGAAAUGCGUAGAUAUAGGAAGGAACACCAGUGGCGAAGGCGACUACCUGGACUGAUACUGACACUGAGGUGCGAAAGCGUGGGGAGCAAACAGGAUUAGAUACCCCUGUAUCC
This 449-nucleotide ribosomal RNA is filed under the name uncultured bacterium. RNAcentral describes it as "partial 16S ribosomal RNA". It matches the Rfam family "Bacterial small subunit ribosomal RNA", at positions 354 to 795 of the family's 1533-position model. The record is from RNAcentral.